GUCGAAUGACUUGGAAAAGUCAGUCAAAGAGGGUAAAAACCCCGUAGAUGAAAUUUGGAAGGCACCUAGGAGGAUCCUGAGUACGGCGGAACACGAGGAAUUCCGUCGGAAUCCGGGAGGACCAUCUCCCAAGGCUAAAUACUCCCUAGUGACCGAUAGUGAACCAGUACCGUGAGGGAAAGGUGAAAAGCACCCCGGAAGGGGAGUGAAAUAGAACCUGAAACCGUGUGCCUACAACAAGUCAAAGCCCGUUAAUGGGUGAUGGCGUGCCUUUUGUAGAAUGAACCGGCGAGUUACGAUUGCAUGCGAGGUUAAGUUGAAGAGACGGAGCCGCAGCGAAAGCGAGUCUGAAUAGGGCGUUUGAGUAUGUAGUCGUAGACCCGAAACCAUGUGAUCUACCCAUGUCCAGGUUGAAGGUGCGGUAAAACGCACUGGAGGACCGAACCCACGUACGUUGAAAAGUGCGGGGAUGAGGUGUGGGUAGCGGAGAAAUUCCAAACGAACUUGGAGAUAGCUGGUUCUCUCCGAAAUAGCUUUAGGGCUAGCCUCGGAAUUGAGAAUGAUGGAGGUAGAGCACUGUUUGGACUAGGGGCCCAUCUCGGGUUACCGAAUUCAGAUAAACUCCGAAUGCCAUUCAUUCAUAUCCGGGAGUCAGACUGUGAGUGAUAAGAUCCAUAGUCGAAAGGGAAACAGCCCAGACCACCAGCUAAGGUCCCAAAAUAUAUGUUAAGUGGAAAAGGAUGUGGGGUUGCACAGACAACUAGGAUGUUGGCUUAGAAGCAGCCACCAUUUAAAGAGUGCGUAAUAGCUCACUAGUCGAGUGACCCUGCGCCGAAAAUGUACCGGGGCUAAACAUAUUACCGAAGCUGUGGAGUACACCUUUAGGUGUAUUGGUAGGAGAGCGUUCUAAGGGCGUUGAAGGCAGAUCGUGAGGACUGCU
This 940-nucleotide ribosomal RNA is filed under the name Enterococcus hirae. Its description in RNAcentral is "partial 23S ribosomal RNA". It matches the Rfam family "Bacterial large subunit ribosomal RNA", at positions 332 to 1274 of the family's 2925-position model. The record is from RNAcentral. Lineage: Bacteria; Bacillati; Bacillota; Bacilli; Lactobacillales; Enterococcaceae.